Molecule: long non-coding RNA, 461 nt
Filed under: Trifolium pratense (red clover)
Lineage: Eukaryota; Viridiplantae; Streptophyta; Magnoliopsida; Fabales; Fabaceae
Description: long non-coding RNA (TPRA_LNC010940)
Source: RNAcentral
GCAAAUAUAUUAUAGAUAAAUAUAAAAACAAAAAAAAAAUACAAUAGAAAGUUCGAAAAAUUAAAGAGGUGUCAGAAUUAUACUCCGCCAGUACUUAAAAAUCUCCGAGGUAAGAAAAGAAAUACAAACAGACAAAUAAAACUACAAAGAAAUAAUGAGGCACACCAUCACCAAACUAGAGCAUUUCAAAUGCACCACCACGAGAAGAAGAAUAUCCCUCAGGAUGAGUGAAGCAGAGAUCAACCACACGUAAGACAAAGCAACAAGAGCGCUUUCAAUCCUCCUAACCUAUCGUGAUCCAACAGAAUACCCCAACAAACUCUAUAAGUUUUAGCAUAAAGUAUGAUUAUACCUCACCCAUAAAAGUAACGAGGGAUAAAAUAAUUACUUUGAUGUUUCUGUCAAUCAUUAAUAGACAUAUUGUACGAAAUAUUUGUCUUUUUAACUUCUUAGUCAUAUAU